This 22928-nucleotide long non-coding RNA is filed under the name Citrus maxima (pomelo). Its description in RNAcentral is "long non-coding RNA (CMAX_LNC000430)". Lineage: Eukaryota; Viridiplantae; Streptophyta; Magnoliopsida; Sapindales; Rutaceae. The record is from RNAcentral.
GCAUAUAGCUUUAAUAACAGUGUCAGUGUCAUCGCCAUCAGGAAGCUGCUUUGUUUUGUCAUCAAACAAGGACAGCAUCACAUACAUAAAGUCUUCAUCUCCCUUAACCUCGCUAGAACCUCUUUUGCUCUUAUGCUCAUCCAACCAUCCUUGGAAAACGAGGUCAAAUUCUUUAGCUGUCUUCUUCAUUAAUUUCUCGUAUCCGCCGAUAUCCAGCCAUCUCAGAAACGGUAAAGCGUCAGACACCACAAACUUACCAAACAAGUCAAAAAAGUCGGUCGCAUGCUCUUGAAAAUCAGAGCUGUCUUGUGAAGUGUAACGUUUUCCUGCAAUUAUUCUCAUGAUAAUAUCAAGUACAAUCCCCUCAAUCCAGUGCUUCAUCUCCACUGAAACCUUAUGUGAACUGCUCCUUUUGCAAUUCUCGAAUAACCCUUUGAUUGAAGCCUUCACUUCAGACUCUCGUACAUGUUUCAGCUUCUGAAGUUGAUUGUUUGAUAAAAGCUCAAUCGUGGCCAUCUUACGAGACUCUCGCCAGUAGUUGCCGUAUGGGCUGGCAGCAAUGGCCAAAAAAUUGUACCCUAAGAGAUCCAUGGCCAUUGAUCUGGGACGAUUUGCAAAGGGUUUGUCGUUGAUGGUGAAACAUUCUUUGGCAAUUUCCCAAUUGCUGACCACUAAAGCUCGAUUCAAGCCCAUUUUCAUAGUGAAUAUUGGACCGUAUUUAUCAGCCAUGUCGCCCAAAAGUCUAUGAGUUGGCUCUUGCCCUCCAAAGAGAUGUAAAUGGCCAAUCAAAGGCCAUGCUCCCCCAGCCACUGGUGCUUGAUGAGGAGCUUGUGUCUUUUUUGUUCGCCCAUUUAGUGAAAUCAAGAGUAGAAGUAAGAGAAAUAUUACAAAGCCUGAAAUUAUUGCAAGAACAGUUGAUCCUAGUGUAAGAAAAAUGGCCAUUUCUAAUUAGUUUUUGCUGGCUCUGAGACUCUGAUCUGAAUGAAGAGGUUACUUCAAAUCAUGACUGAUAUAUAGAUAUAAUUUAAGAGCAUAUAGCGUAAGGUCUGCAGUAAAAGUUUCGUCUAGUCAAUGAUUAUAAGAUAAUUACAAAAUUGGUACGUAAUGUACCCUUAAAAUGCUUUAAACACUUUUAUUUUAAUAAAAUUUUAUAUAACUAAAAUACUUAUAAAGUAAUUGUACUAUUAAGUACAAGCUUAUGAAUCAAACAAAAUAUAUUUUACUUUUCCCAAUUUCAUUAAUUUGAGUCUCUGAAAUUCUUACGUUUACAAAUAAUUCCCAUACCUAGGAAGAGACUCGUCUAAGAUAUAACAAAAUCAAACAAUUUUUACUUUUCUAGUCAGUUUGUUGCUUUGUGAAAUCAAGGGAUGCUUCUAAAGUCUUAGAAAAUGACGGUUUACUACUUUGAUCCAUGGCUAACAUAAAAUUUCGAUGACCAAGUCAUUUUAUUUUUCAUUUUCCAAUCCAAAUUCAUGACUCAGGACCCAAAGUCUUGCAAUUUUUUUGUUUUUUUCUGUUAGGUUAUAAAUGUGAAUUAUGAAGGAUAAUUUUUGCUCAUUCUUUGACUGAAUGACUAUCAAACUUUGCCCUAUUGUUAACCAUUGAAACAAAUGAUGAUAGAUUAAUAUUGAGAAAAUAAUUACUUCAAAUAAAAUUUAAUAUUUAUGUGGGAUGGAGAAUAACCCCUCCAUUGAGUUGGUUGGCAUUUCCUUCUCUUGACAAUGAGAUGAAAAAAUAUAGUUUUUAUUUAAUUGAUAUAAAAUUAUUCUAGUGUAAAUUAUUAUUAUUGUUAUUAAUUCAAAGUUUUGUCCCCUUAAGUCAAUAUCCUUGUGUAUUGUAAGAAAUCUUUCUGGCAGAAAUUUACAAGGCUCCUGCCAAACUUUUGGGUCAUGAUGAACCUUCCAAGCAUUAACAAAGAGUUGCGUGCCUGCAGGGACAUGGUAACCACUGACGGUGCAGUCUUCCAUCCACUGGUGAGAUUGUAGAAGUGGCGCUGCCGGAUAUAAACGCAUUGUUUCCUUGAGCAUAGCCCGCAAGUAAACUAAAGUUUCAAUGUCAGAUUCAUUCACUUGCCUAUUUGCACCAACAUGAAUGUCUAGUUCAUUCUGAGCCUUCUUCAGAGCAUCUUGAUUUUUAAAAUUAUCUUCUUCACAUAUGAGAUAAACAUCUAGUCUAUGGAAGGUUCUACCUGCAUUCCUAUCCUUGGUAGAGAAAUCAAAUCAUGGAUCUUUGGGAAUGUACAUGUUUGUACAAAUCUUUGAACCGGAACUCCCCCUUUUUAAUUGAUUUGUAUUCAUCAGCAAUUUAUAGUUUUAUAUUGAUGAUGUUCUUUCUUGUUUCAUACAUACCGAAAUGAUAUAUCAAUCAUACUGUCAUCAGUAAUAAAUAAGAUUCUAGGUUUACAUUGCAUAAUACAUAAUCAAGCUUUAACUUUGCUUUGAAUCUUCUAAAUUAAAACACAUGGGUAUGUACACCCGAAGAACUAGUACGCCAUUAAUUAAAUGCUUAAAACAAACAUAAAUUCAAAAUGAGACAUUUGGUGACAAUGUUUAUUCGCUUGCACAAUGGGUUAACAAAAGUGUCCAUGGUUUGGUAAAUGGUAAAUACAAAUUCUUUUGUGGAUACAUUUUAGUGGCACUUGUAAUUGAAAAGGGCAGAGAUUGAAAAAAUAUAUAAUGAAAAUGGUAAUUCUAAAAAUAAAUAGAUUUAAUUAAGAAAUGGGGCUAAUGAGAUAAAUAGAAGAGGUCAAAUAUCACUACACAAAUAUAUUUUAGAUGCAUAAAAUUCAGUACACAUAGAUUGGAUCAUGUAAAUUAUGGAUCUUCCUAUGUAUAUUUUUUAAUAUACACAAAUUAAGCAGUUGUUAAGAGUGUUUCCAUGCUUGACAAUUAACUAGUAAUAGGCGAUAACUUGCUUGAUUCAUCAAAAUACCUGCUCCAAAUUAAUUAAAAGUCUCAAUCCUAAAUAAAGUCAAUGUGGCAUUACCAAGAUCAUCUAAUUAAUGUCUGCGUCGUUUUCUUAAUCCAAUUAAAAUUUUAUCUACAAAUUAAGACGAGAUCGAUGGUUAAAAAAUUGUACUUAAUUUUGGCUUUAAACUGAUCAACCCGUCUGAAAGCAAUAUGGCUUUUGAAACCAUCAAAGCUCAUGUCACAUACACCUACUCUUUUGUAACAAUUUUAAAGAAAAUUCGGGGAAAAUAAAUCAUGCGUCACAAAGUUCAAGUCAAUUUAUUUGGUUAUAAUUUAUUGAUUCAUUAUUCCUUUUCGAUUUAUUCAAGUCAGUUUAAUUAAUUAAUUCAUAAGAGAUGGGAUUUGAACCCAUCAAAGUACUCUUAUACUUAUUUUUAAUAAUUUUUUCUUUUAUUACUAAAAUAUCCAUUACAAAAAUUAUCACCGAGAACAACAUAAAACCCAAAUUCGUUUUCAAUGUUUGAACUUAACUUUAUUUUGUAGUACAAUGAAAGCGAGAGAGAAACAUUCAUUAAGGAUGAGUAACAAUUAACUAACUUUCCGUUCCACCCAAACAAAUCAAGGUCAAGGAUAUGGCUUUUCAAAAUGACUGGCAAAAUCGUCAUCUUAUUAUUAUUAUUAUUAUUUUUGAAUUCAGAAUUCGAACUGUCUAAAAUACCCGAGGUGGCUAACAUGUUAGAACAGUUCAAGUCAAAUAUGAAUUAUUGAAUUAAUUGUAAACAAGCAUUAAUGUUAGAGGUGGCUAUGCAAAGUAGCAGGGUGAAUGAUUUGAGCGUAAAAAUUGAAUUGUAAGAAUACGUAAAAGUUGAAUGCUUCAAUUCAAUUAGAGUUAACGAGUGGUUGAGUUGAUUUAUUCAGUUCAAAGUGGAGUUCUUUUUUGGGCAUAUUAAAGGGGCUUUGGUUUGGUUGAAUGGAAUAUACUAGUAUAAAUUAAGGUGGCCAUUCACAUUAAGGUAGGUGAAUUAAUUUUAAAGUUCUCUCGUAACUGAUUGUUGACGUGGCACAACUUAUUUACUGAUAUUUUUAAUCUUUUUGAGAUAUAAUUAAUUAUUAUAAUUUAUUAAUCAGUUACUUAAAAAAUUCAGGCAAAUAUUUAACCAUAAAUUCGUUUUUUUGGAUCCAACCAUUGGAUCCUGUUGGUGCAAAUUUUGUCCCAACUUAUACGAGGUACCUCAGUCUAUACGGGGUACCUCGAGUUACUCUGGAGUUAUGCGGGGUACCUCUGACCGUGCCGGGUACCUCUAAUCAUGCCAGGUACCUCUAAUCUUGUGGGGUACCUCAGAUUGCAUUGAAGUUAUUCCAUUCGUCGACACGUGGCGUUCUGCUAUCUUUCUUAUUUUUCCCCCAAACAACAUCCCCCUAGUUUCUUUUGGCGAGAAGUAUUGGAGGCAAAAGAAACUUACAUAAAAAGUAGGAGCGACACGUGGCGAAAUGAAGUUUAGCUCGAUGGGCAGCUGAAUAGAGGACGCCUCUAGGGAUACCGUCAUGAAGGGAAGAUCUCUGGAGUGAACAAGACUUUGAGGGGACACUUUGAUGAAGUUUUAGAUGAGAAGGCCCAUAAGGUGGAAGACCCUGAGGAGCUUUAAGUUAAACUUUAGGACUUGGUACCUCGACAGAAGAACAUAGUUGACAAUACUUUUGAGCGCAUCAUGACCGAGGAAUGGAGUGCUGAUAUGGGGCUGGUGGUGCAAAGAGUAGAGAACUAGGUAGAUAAGCCGGCUAUCUUGAAGGCAAUUGAGAAUAGCAGGGCUCCCCACACAUCUUGGUCUGAAAGCCCAUGGAGAUCAACUGGGGUACCUCAGAUGAAGUCACUAUAAGGUACCCCUGAUACCGACGCUUGUGUUUCUGCUAUUUCUAGCACUUUUGUUGAUCUCCUUAUCCUAAAUGAUGAAGGUGAAGAUAACCAUCCUACUAUAUAACAUUGUUCGACAUUACCGACAAGGCAUAUGGGGUACCUCGGGUACCCUUAAGCUUGGAUAUCCCCUGAGCUAUCUGGUACUUCAUGGCGGGAUAACCCAAUUUUAUCAAACAUAUGGCGAUUCCUUCAAAUAUGCUUGCUGCUUAUCUCAGGCUUUCUUAGAGUUCCUCUUGGUGUACACGAGGAAUGGUUUUCUGUCAUAGGGUACCCUGAGUACUAUGGGUACCCUUAAUCUUGUCUCAUCAGUGUAUCGUGGUUUACUUAGACAUGCUUGUUGCGGUUAAUUCAUGGCGGAACAACCCAAUUUCAUCAAACAUAUGGUGAUUCCUCUGGAUAUGUUUGUUGUUUAUCUCAAGCUAUCUUAGGGUUCCUCUUAGUGUAUUUGAGGAAUGACUUUCUGGCGUGGGGUACCUCGGAGGUACCCUUAAUUAGUGUAUGGCAAUUUUCAUAGACAUUCUUACCGCAAAUCUUCACAAAACUUAUGGCGAUUCCUUUUGAGAGAUGAAUGAAAACCUCAUGAUCCACCAUUCACUCUACAUCAAAUAUGCAAGAUAAAUAGUAAUAAAGGUGGGCUGCUCGCCUACCUUUAUGUAAGAUGGUCGAAAAUCUCAUGAUCCACCAUUCGCGUUGAAUCAAAUAGACAACAUAGAUUGAGAUAAAUGUGGCUGCUCGCCUACCCUUAUGCGACAUGGUCGAAAACCUCAUGAUCCACCAUUUGCUGGAAUCAAAUAGACAACAUAGAUUGAGAUGAAGGUAGCUGCUCGCCUACCCUUAUGCGAGAUGGUCGAAAACCUCAUGAUCCACUAUUCGCAUGGAAUCAAAUAGACAAUAUAGAUUGAGAUAAAGGUGGCUGCUCGCCUACCCUUAUGCGAGAUGGUCGAAACCUUGUGAUCCACCAUUCGCAUGGAAUAAAAUAGACAACAUAAAUAAAGAUGAAGGUGGCUGUUCGUCUACCCUUAUGCGAAAUGAUUGAAACCUCAUGAUCAACCAUUCGCUCAGAAUCAAAUAUGGCGAGCAAAUAAUGAUAAAGGCGGCUCUGAUGUUAAGUAGAUUAUCAUGAUUGGGGAUAGGUCAGGUACCUCGGGUACCCUGGAGUAAGGUGAUCUCUGGAUACCCUCUUGCAUCAUAAUAAACAAUACUUUUACUAGUAGCAUGACUUUUCUUUGUUGGAUCGGUGGCCCAAAUCGAGACGGAAACCGAGUCUUCAACUGGGGUACCCCGUUUUUCAUCUUUGGAUAUUCGAGGAUCCAAACGUACCUCCAAUUCACAUUUAGGCUUAAUCUGGUCCCCGUGGGGUACCCCCACAUAAUUCUAGAGUAACUAGUUAUGAGGUACCCUACCACCGAGGCCUCGGUGGUGGCGAUCUUGGAGGUUCGGGUACCCGUGAGAUACCCUGAGUGUUAAACACUCGUCCCCGCGGGGCAACCCGUAGAGGGCUCCGCAUUCGGGGUACCCUUUGUAUUGGGGCUUUCGUCCUCUUCGGUUUCUCCUUAUUCUUUGUUACCUCGACCUUAUCUUCUUGGCGCUUCAAAUGACAUUUCUCAUCCAUCUCCACUUGCUGCAACGCCCGGAAACGGGCUUCCCUAUAUGAAAGUGGGUGCUUCUUUUGAAAGGAACGCUAUAACAUGCCCAACCGUAAAUUUUUCUCGAAAUGAGUCAGUGUGUGUUGGUUUCCAAAUGCUCCGGUUCGCAACAUCUCUUGGUGGAAACGGCUCAUACUCCGCCAAAUGUUCGACUUCUCCUUGCUUGAUAAAGGCAAGUUUGGAGGCUACCCUAUCUUGAGUGGAAACAUAGGAAAACUCUUUAGUAAAUUCGGAUAAUAAUUGGUGUAGAGAAGAUAUGCUACCAGCUUUCAAAGAGCAAAACCAUGAUUUCGCGGGGCCCGUGAGUGUGUGUGUAAACAUCCUACACAUGGCACUAUCAUCUACACCCUUGAUAAGCAUUUGGUCGCGGUAUAGCUCAGCAUGGUCCGAGGGAUCAGUGGUACCCGAAUAUUGGGGUAUCUGAGGCAUGGCGAACGCCUCGGGGAGAGCUGCCUUUCGAAUCUACAUAGUGAAUGGCGAUUGGUAGGUCAUUGGCGUUGGAGCAGCUGUGAUGUUUUGCUUCUCGGAGAGGAGCUUCAGUUGGGCUUCUAGGUUCUCCAUUUUUUCCACAAGUUCGUGGGGUACCCGAUGAUGUCGCCGCUAUUUGAGAAGCCCUUUUGGCAUUUAACUUUUCACGGAGAUCCUCGUGGGCACGUUUUGCGCACCUCGUACCCUGGCUGCUACGGGAAUUGCAAGAGGCGGUGGAACGCUCGUCUCAGGAGCCCACAAUUUGAAACUUAGAACGGGUACCCGAUGGCCUAUGCUUUGGCUUGUUGGCCUCGGGUACCACUUUUCUGACCAUAGCUUGGUCGUCCGUUUGAGGUGGUGAAGCUUCUAGCGUCACUGGUGGAAGUGAACUUUCGGGUGCCCGAAAUCCAACCACCCUAAGUAUUGCGUGGGCAAAAUCCUCGAAAUGCUUGUGAGAAAUAGGUUCCUCAACUAGGCGAACUCCUAUCAAUUGUUUGAUACCCUUGCCCUUGCUGAUGCGGGCUACCCUUCUUGCGGGAUCACUACCUUCACUGCUGCUGUCAUUUCUCAUCCUUGUAGGAUCUGCCAUUAAACCUUCGGAAGGUACGUCAGGUGCCAUGUAUUGGAGUACACACAACAACUAGUUUGGUAACCGUGGAAGAGGCUUUUUGUGCGACUUCCCACAGACGGUGCCAAUUGUUUUCAACAGAUUUUGGGGUAAGAAAAGCCAAACCUAUCUAGAACAAUGAAUUUAUAUUUUUGGGGGAGAUGGGGUACCUUACUGGUUUGUUGUGUGCGGUGCGGUGUAUCUGAAAUUCGGGGGAGGUGAGAAGGGGAGAGGGAGUGGUAACAAUGGUGAAAGGUCAAAACCAAGAGAGGUGUCCUUUAAAAUGAGCUACACGCCUGCAAAACAGUGAAAUAGAGGUUAGAGGUGAAGCCGAGGUACCCCGGCGUUCACACUCCGACGCUCAAGUUAGCAAACUCAAGCUUUUAUGGCAAAGACAGCUGGCUAGCCCUUUGUAAAUUAGGGUUUAUGGUUGAAGAAAACCUAUUUUUUGGAGUGUGAGUGUUAAUGGUGAGUGAGAACCUCCUGGAGAAUGAAACCUAGACACCUUUAUAUAUGGAGUACCUCAGCUGCACCGUUAUGUGCAUGUUCGCGGCAUAUCUCAUCCUUUAGAAACGUGGCGCACGUUGGAUAAUGGUCCAAGGUACCUCUGCAGUAGCUGUCGGGUAAGCGGCUGAGGACCACUGUCCUUGGGACAAUGUCCUUCACUUUUGGCAGAGGUUGCAGACGGCUGUCCCCCCCUUUUAGUACGACGUUCUUGAUUCCUAAUUCUGACAAAAUCGAAUAAUAUCUUUUAAGAGAUGGAGACGUUUCUCACGGCGGAUAUUUUCGGUGGAUUCUCUUGCAUCUGAUCUGCCGGGUACCUCGAGUUACGUGGGGUACCUUAAUUUAUGUGGGGUACCCCUAAUUGAGCGGGGUACCUCUAUUUGUGUGGGGUACCUAUAAUUGUGCGGGGUACCUCAAAUCAUGUCGGGUACCUCGGAUUGCACUGAAGUUAUUCCAUUCGUCGACACGUGGCAUUCUGCUAUCUUUCUUAUUUUCCCCCCAAACAACAUUAGGGUAUCUCUAAUUGUGUGGGGUACCUCAAAUCACGCCGGGUACCUCAGAUUGUGUAGGGUAUCUCGUAUCAUGUCGGGUACCUCUAUUUGUCCAGGGUACCUUAAAUCAUGCCGGGUACUUCGAAUUAUAUGGGGUACCUCAGAUUGUAUUGGGUACCUCUAAUCAAGUCGGGUAUCUUUAAUUACGCCGGGUACCUCUAAUCAUGCGGGGUAUCUCUAAUCAGGUCAGGUACCUCUAAUCAUGCGGGGUACCUCUAAUUAAGUUGGGUACCUCUAAUUAUGCCGGGUACCUCUAAUUGCGCGGGGUACUUCUAAUCAAGCCGGGUACCUCUAAUUACGUCGGGUACCUCUAAUUAUGCGGGGUACCUCUAAUCAGGCCGGGUAACUCUAAUCAUGCCGGGUACCUCUAAUCAUGCUGAGUACGUCUAAUCAGACCGGGUAUCUCUAAUCAUGCUGGGUACCUCGAGUUAUUCCGAGUACCUUGAAUUAUGUUGGAGUUAUUCUGGGUACCUUGAAUUUUGCUGGAGUUAUUCCGGGUACCUCAAAUUAUACGGGGUACCCCAGUCUAUGCGGGGUACCUCGAGUUACUCUGGAGUUAUGCGGGGUACCUCUGACCGUGCCGGGUACCUCUAAUCAUGCCGGGUACCUCAAAUCAUGGCAGGUACCUCUAAUCUUGCGGGGUACCUCUAAUCAUGUCGGAUACCUCGGAUUGCACUGAAGUUAUUCCAUUCGUCGACACGUGGCGUUCUGCUAUCUUUCUUAUUUUUCCCCAAACAACUUAUUUAUUUAUUUUUAAAAUUAUCUUCUUCACAUAUGAGAUAAACAUCUAGUCUAUGGAAGGUUCUACCUGCAUUCCUAUCCUUGGUAGAGAAAUCAAAUCAUGGAUCUUUGGGAAUGUACAUGUUUGUACAAAUCUUUGAACCGGAACUCCCCCUUUUUAAUUGAUUUGUAUUCAUCAGCAAUUUAUAGUUUUAUAUUGAUGAUGUUCUUUCUUGUUUCAUACAUACCGAAAUGAUAUAUCAAUCAUACUGUCAUCAGUAAUAAAUAAGAUUCUAGGUUUACAUUGCAUAAUACAUAAUCAAGCUUUAACUUUGCUUUGAAUCUUCUAAAUUAAAACACAUGGGUAUGUACACCCGAAGAACUAGUACGCCAUUAAUUAAAUGCUUAAAACAAACAUAAAUUCAAAAUGAGACAUUUGGUGACAAUGUUUAUUCGCUUGCACAAUGGGUUAACAAAAGUGUCCAUGGUUUGGUAAAUGGUAAAUACAAAUUCUUUUGUGGAUACAUUUUAGUGGCACUUGUAAUUGAAAAGGGCAGAGAUUGAAAAAAUAUAUAAUGAAAAUGGUAAUUCUAAAAAUAAAUAGAUUUAAUUAAGAAAUGGGGCUAAUGAGAUAAAUAGAAGAGGUCAAAUAUCACUACACAAAUAUAUUUUAGAUGCAUAAAAUUCAGUACACAUAGAUUGGAUCAUGUAAAUUAUGGAUCUUCCUAUGUAUAUUUUUUAAUAUACACAAAUUAAGCGGUUGUUAAGAGUGUUUCCAUGCUUGACAAUUAACUAGUAAUAGGCGAUAACUUGCUUGAUUCAUCAAAAUACCUGCUCCAAAUUAAUUAAAAGUCUCAAUCCUAAAUAAAGUCAAUGUGGCAUUACCAAGAUCAUCUAAUUAAUGUCUGCGUCGUUUUCUUAAUCCAAUUAAAAUUUUAUCUACAAAUUAAGACGAGAUCGAUGGUUAAAAAAUUGUACUUAAUUUUGGCUUUAAACUGAUCAACCCGUCUGAAAGCAAUAUGGCUUUUGAAACCAUCAAAGCUCAUGUCACAUACACCUACUCUUUUGUAACAAUUUUAAAGAAAAUUCGGGGAAAAUAAAUCAUGCGUCACAAAGUUCAAGUCAAUUUAUUUGGUUAUAAUUUAUUGAUUCAUUAUUCCUUUUCGAUUUAUUCAAGUCAGUUUAAUUAAUUAAUUCAUAAGAGAUGGGAUUUGAACCCAUCAAAGUACUCUUAUACUUAUUUUUAAUAAUUUUUUCUUUUAUUACUAAAAUAUCCAUUACAAAAAUUAUCACCGAGAACAACAUAAAACCCAAAUUCGUUUUCAAUGUUUGAACUUAACUUUAUUUUGUAGUACAAUGAAAGCGAGAGAGAAACAUUCAUUAAGGAUGAGUAACAAUUAACUAACUUUCCGUUCCACCCAAACAAAUCAAGGUCAAGGAUAUGGCUUUUCAAAAUGACUGGCAAAAUCGUCAUCUUAUUAUUAUUAUUAUUAUUAUUAUUAUUAUUUUUGAAUUCAGAAUUCGAACUGUCUAAAAUACCCGAGGUGGCUAACAUGUUAGAACAGUUCAAGUCAAAUAUGAAUUAUUGAAUUAAUUGUAAACAAGCAUUAAUGUUAGAGGUGGCUAUGCAAAGUAGCAGGGUGAAUGAUUUGAGCGUAAAAAUUGAAUUGUAAGAAUACGUAAAAGUUGAAUGCUUCAAUUCAAUUAGAGUUAACGAGUGGUUGAGUUGAUUUAUUCAGUUCAAAGUGGAGUUCUUUUUUGGGCAUAUUAAAGGGGCUUUGGUUUGGUUGAAUGGAAUAUAGUGGUAUAAAUUAAGGUGGCCAUUCACAUUAAGGUGGGUGAAUUAUUUUUGAAGUUCUCUCGUAACUGAUUGUUGACGUGGCACAACUUAUUUACUGAUAUUUUUAAUCUUUUUGAGAUAUAAUUAAUUAUUAUAAUUUAUUAAUCAGUUAAAAAAUUCAGGCAAAUAUUUAACCAUAAAUUUGUUUUUUUGAUCCAACCAUUGGAUCCUGUUAGUGCAAAUUUUGUCCCAACUUAUAAUAUGGAAAUUUCGACUGAUGACGAUCCCCUUAGGACUUGGGUUCCUCUUUGUUGGAUUUGAUGAUGGUGAGUUUUUCCUUUGGGCUGAUAUUGAUGGGCCUUUAUAUAUACUCUUCUCAGUCCACUUCCUUAGGCAAUCAGAAUGUUCUUGUCUAGUGAUACUCUACAAACACAAGAAAAUGAUAAGAGGGUCGGCUUUUCCGGCAUAAACCCUCCGAAAGUCAAGUCAGUCACCAGACUUUUGGAAAUAUAAAUUUAGAAAGAGAAAGAUUAGAGGGAGAAAGUUAGCAUUUUCUCAUUUUGAGUCUCUUUUUGUCUUACCUUUUAGUGAGAAUAAAAGACAUAUUUAUCGACCAAACUGAUUUGACUUGGGUCCUAAUUAUUUUGAUGACAAAUUUCAUUAUUCUUGUGGCAUUUGGCAACACUUGUCCCCUAGUGCCCAUGUUGAUUGACACAUGGAUAUACAAACUUGUAUACAGAUUAGAGGAAGGAACGUUUUAUCCUUAUGUUAUUUUUACUUAGAUCUUCUGAUCAUAAGAGCCUUCAAACUUAGAAGGUUUGUCCUAGAAUAAGAGCCUAGAACCUCAGCACGUUUUGGACUUUAAAUCCUUGCCACCUAGUUAAUUUAUCCUAGGUGAUUUGUCUUAGGAUAGGAAUCUAGAACCUUGGCUCCUUUUGGGCUUUGAAAUAUUGUUACUUAGGAGAAUCAUUCUAGAUGAUUUGUCCACCACUUCGUGGGCUUAAUUGAGAGGAAAUUUAUUAGAUGGACCUUAUUGAGAUUAAAUUUAUUUGGGCCUUAUUAGGCUUAUUUUAUUUUUGGUCCAACAGAUCCCCACAAGAAUGGCAGAAAUUGUUCCGACGGGGUAGAUGAAUUUACAUGGCAAUUAACAUUACAAUCCCUGUUGCUUCUCAAAAAGUCAACAAUAACAAUAAUAAUACUUAAUAUUUUGUCUCAAUAAUUAUUCCAAUCCUACACUUAAUCCUACCUCCCAAAUAUAGCCUAAUCCCUCAACUUCAUCUCUUUAGAUUCUAUCUCUCUUGUUCACUCUAGCCAAUAACACCAAUAAUAAAUCUCUCUUUUUCAUUUUUUGAAGGGAACUCUCAAUCUCUCUUUAUUUAUUUAUUUUUUUUAAUUUUCUCAACUCAUAUCAAUAUUUAAAGGCCAUGGAGAACCAAAAAAAGCUUCUCAAGUUCAAGUAUCACAUAAUAUUAGCCCUAGUUUUUAUCUCUUGCACUCAUCUCAGUCAUCGUUCCAGCACCAAGCUUCCUAAACAUUUUAGCCUACUUUUGGUCUUUGUUUCUCUUAGUCACACUCUUUAUUGUUAAAAUCAUCGUCUUUGGUAAAACCUCGAUCUCUGCUGCAGAUUCUUCUUCUUUUUCUUCUAGUUAAGCCUUCUUGAUUAUGUUAUGGCCACCUCAAUAAAAAAAUAAUUUUUUAAUUUGGACUUAUAUCUUAAAAUUGGGGUAAGAUAACCGGGCAAGAUGAGUUCGUCCUUAUUAUUGUUUAGGUAAGGUUAUAUGCACUUUGAGUAACAAAAUGGCGGCAGCUACUUCAUCAUUCACUCCAUCGAUCGCCAAACCUACUCCAUCAUCAUCAUUGAAAACCCUAAAACCUGUAGGGUCUAUCUCACUUCGGUGGACCAAAAACCCUAAAGUCCAAAAUAUUUUGUUUGAUGUGUAAUUAUUGUAAAAUUUUGGACUUAGACUAAAUUAAUGAGAAAAUAUAUAAAGGAAAUAAGUGAAGAAUCAAGAGAGCUGUAGUCAUUUCACACAUUGAGAAGACGCUGCGAGAGAGAAAGACAUAGGUAUUUUUUCUUUAAGUUUUCAAUCUUUGAUUUAACGAUCGCAAGAUGAUUUUAACUAUGAUUUCUCCCAAAUUUGGAGGAUAAGUUCCUGACAUCGCCCUCUAUAUUUUUACUGGUGUUGAUCUGUAUUUUAUUCUCUUGGUAGCUGUUAUUUGAGAUACCCAUUUAUUAGAGAAAUAUAUAUUAGAUCUAUUAUUGUAAACUAAGAUUGUUGAGAAUCUUGAUGUUGUUAGCCUCUAGUGUUAUCUGGAGAAAUAUUUGUGCCGUAAUCCCAUUAAUAUAUUGGAAGUUUAUAUCGGACUAUAAUCCCGUGUUUUUUUUUUUUCAAUUUGGGUUUUCCACGUUAAAAUUAGUGUCUUUUGUGGUUGAUUUAUUACUUUGGAUUUGUUAGUUUAUUUUUCUACCUUUUUUUUUUUGUAGUUCACAUCUUAUUUUAAUCACACAAAAAGGAAAAGAAUUUUAUUUCCGUUUAAUUUACAGCUACUUUUGUGGGUCCAUCUGCCAACAAAACCAGAAUUCAAGCCUCUCAAUCUAGGGUUUCUCUAAUCCACCGUGAAGUCGUUGAGAGCUCUCAAAGCUACCAAUGACAAUGGAAACGGCUUCGCUUUGGGCUCAGCUCUCGGCGUUCGGAUGGUGUCUACUCCUACGGUUAAGACACCUCUCUCGCUCGAUUUUGAGACAUCUGUCUUCAAGAAGGAGAUGAUCUCUCUCACUGGCCACGAUGAGUACAUUGUGAGAGGAGAAAGAGAUUUGUUGAAGUUGCUGCCGGACGCAUUCAAGGGGAUUAAUCAUAUUGGCGUUAUUGGUUGGGUUCCCAGGGACCUGCCCAAGCUCAAUUCUUGGGUAGGUCCCUGGGAACCCUAACCUCUAACGUUAAUUUGCUUAAUCCCCUUGAAUGCGUCCGGCGCAACUUGAACAAAUCCCUUCCUCCUCUCACAAUUUACUCAUCGUGGCCAGCGAGAGAGAUCUUCUCCCUCUUGAAGAUAGAUGUCUUAAAAUCGAGCGAGACAAGUGUCUUAACCACAGGAGCGGACACCAUCCGAGCACUGAGAGCUGAGCACGAAAUGAAGCCAUUUCCACUGCCGCUGGUAGCUUUGAGAGCUCUCAACGACUUCGAGGUGGAUGAGAGAAGGAAGGGAUUUUGAUGACGAUGAUGGAGUGGGUUUGGCAAUCGAGGGAGUGAAUGAUUAAGUACCACCGUCAUUUUGUUACUCAAAGUACGUAUAACCUUACUUGAAACAAUAAUAAGGACAAAAUCGUCUUGCCCCGGUUAUCUUACGCCAAUUUUAACAAGUCCAAAUUAAAAAAUUAUUUUCUUGUUGAGGCUUAUUACUGCUUAUGCUGUACGUACAGUAGGUGUUCUUUUUAAGCAACAAAUUAAUUGACAUUGGAUUACAUUUUCUGAGUAUCCGCAAUCAGAAUUGUAUGGCUUGUUUAAUUGUUUUAAAAGUAAGUUCACAUUUGAUGGUCUUGAAGAGGAGUUGAAAGCUGUAUUUUCUUCUCAAGUUAAAGAAAGAUUCAAAGAUUAUAUGAAGAGUACUAGAGAUGAAGCCUUCAAAAAAUUUAAAAUAGAUGGGGAGUGUUAUUUUAAUUGCCCAUCAAAUGUUGAGAAAUAUGUAUGGCAUCAAAUGGUGGACAAAUGGUUGAGUGAGAAAUGGCAGGUAUUAUAUAUUCAUAAUUUUUGUUGCUUAAUUAUUUAUUAAGCUAUAUUCAUGAUUGUUGUUGUUGUUGCUUGAUUAUUUGUUGGCAUGUAUGAUAGUGUUUAAUUGUUGGACUAUUUUGUGUUUGUUUCAUCUUUUCUAUCUUGCUGCUUAAUGACUCAAUAAGAUUUCUUAUUUCUAGUUUUAUUUAGGCAUUUUUAUAUUUAGUAAUUGUAUUAAGUCUGUUAUUUUUUUUUAUUUAGAAAUCUUUUAUAUUGAUUAUUAGAAUCCGAUAAUAAUUACUUUUUUGUUUGUUGAUGUUUUGCUAAAAAAAUUAAAGUGUUUAUCUUUACAUUUGAUUCUCUCUCUAUGUACGGUGAAUUUAAUAAUCUGAUCAAAUGUAGAAGUGAUUUUUCCUUUCAUACUUAUGUUAUAUAUGAUGAAUGAUGAAUGGGUUAGAUUUGGUGUAGGUAAAUCUAAUGAUUGGGUUUAUUUAUAUCCUAUGCAAUAAUUCUAAUUUCAACUUAUUUAAAUCCUAUGCAAUAAUUUUAAUUUCAACGUAGUUAAAUAAUUUUAGUUUACAAUGUUGAAUGUAAUGAAUCAUUUUUUUCUUUUAUGUAGAAAUCUAGUAGAACAAGUGCAUUGAACUGUUACAAACCAUCUAAAGUAGUGCAUACAACUGGAUCGAUUAAAAUGUUGAAGAAGAAAAAGGAAUUGGCAUAUGAUCAUAGUUGUCAUAAAUUUUCUUAUAUUUAUAUUUUAUCAUAGAAGUGCUUUUAAAAGAUUUACUUUGUUGUCAUAAAAUAAUUAUUUUGAUUCUUAAUAUUUUAGUUUUUAUAAUACAAAUUAAUUAAUUAUCUAACAUUAUUUUUAUUAUUGUUAUUUUAUUGAUAGGCAGAGAAAAAUAGGAAUGAGCCUAUUGUUGUACAAAUUUUAUUGAACUCGCAAGUGCACGAAUCUAUUGUAGAAUAGAUCAAUGGUGACGAGUGUCGAUCCCACGAGGAUGUGAAUUUUAAUUAUAUGUAGAAUUAUUUUUCUAUAAAGGUGGUUGGAUUUGUGGUGAAAGUAAUUUAGACUAUCUUAGAAUUUAAAUUGGAAUGGCGGAAUUAAAUUAAAGUGGAAACUAUUAUAAUUGAAGCGCUUGGGUAUCUGGAUCCGUAUCAACAUGCACCAUGGGUUAAAUAUUCCUUAUUAGUGCUAAUUAAAUCAUGAGGGGAAAAUCCACACCUCAUGAAUCACACUCUAAUCAAUAUGGUACUAAGGGCUUAUAGUGCCAAAUAAUAAUAACCUUGUAUUAGGGAGCCGGUGAAAUCAGGGCGGUAUCUAGACAAGAUUAUUAUUAUUUGUCGACGAAAAAUCAAAACAUCCACAAAAAUUAGAGGGGAAGAGAAAAUAAAUUUACCAAGUAAAGCCCAUGACACAUGUUGAGACUCCACCUUCAACCCAAGCUUGAAAGAAAAUUAGCUACUCAUAAUUGAACUAGGGGUAAAAUAGAAAUUUAUUAAAAUACGUAGAAAAUACAAGAUGGAAAAGAAAUUACAGAAAAUGGAGCUAAAAAAUCAAUUCAGAGAUGCCAAAUUAGGGGGGAGAGACCACUUUUUAUAGAUACAUUGAGUAAAUCAUGGUCAUCGGAUUAAAAACAGUUUGGGCGCUCAGGAUUGCGCCACGUCAUCAGUCAACAAUACGCGGUUUGACCACGCGGUUUGAACAAUGAUACGGUUUGACCACAUGGUUUGAACAGUCAAUCGGCUUGAACAAUAACGUGGUUUGGUUGAAAAUAAUCUUGUGUAUAUGCAUGUACUGUACGCGCGAUUUUUGGUCCACUAACAUGCUGUCACGUUACCGAUCAACAGUACAUAAGAAUUUUCUCUAAUGGAAUCGUGACACCUCAUCUAUCAAUGCCACAUCAUCGGUCAAUGCCACGUCAUCAUUCCGUAUGUGUGAACAGUGUCGUGAACAGUAACAUGGACAGUACCGUACAUAUGAACAAUGCCAUUUUUCUUUUUAUACUCCUCAUAAGGUUUUCGGCUAUCCUGAGUGAGCUCUCGUUAUUGUGAAAUGACCAUGAUGCCCCUAAAAUACAUAAAAUACUUAAUUAAAAUAAAACACACAUAAUUAAAUCACAAGAAGCUUAAAUACAUAAAAGUAAGGAUGUUAGUAAGACUUGAAAUGUAAAAUGACGAUUUUCUCCUUUAUAAAUAUACAUUUUUCUAACACUCAACACACCCCCCAACCAGCUUAUUGCUAAUCCCUAGCAAAUAAAGCAAAAACAAAAUUCAAACCCAAAACGAUUUUUUUAAACACUCUUGUUUAUUCAAUCAGACUAAUGAUAGUAAUCAAAUAAAAGUAUAAGCAUUAUCUCCAGUCUAAAGAAACAUAACACCCACAUCCACCAUUCACAUGCAUCAAUCCAGCAGACUUUGUCAAAGUUACUUUCAAGAAUAACAUGUCAAACCCCAAAAUCUCACUGGUAGUAGUGACACUCUCACAAAGAAAUUAAACCUAAUAAAAAUAGUACUCCAAUGAAUGGUAAAUUGAGAGAAAAUAAUAAAGAAAUAAUAUCACACGCUCUCACUGGGAUGAAAGAAAUAUGCUCUUAGCUUAGAAAUAAUAAUCUGAUCUCAAGUCAAACAAAAUGCUAGUCAACUCAAUUUAUUUAUUUAUUUAUUUUUAUGUAUUACUACAUCUUUUUAGCCCAUAUAACUAACUUCUACUUCAGACUAUAGCUCCCUAAAAUCAUGAAGGACUUUUAUUAGGAUGUAACGUAGGCUAAGGACAUGGCUAACAAAUGAAGGAAAUAUAAAAAACAAAAUAUAUGUUUGAGAAAAAGUAGAAAUCUUUUGGAAAUUACAAAGUGGAUUUCACCUAUUAUUAUUUUUUCUUUUUUUUUUUAACUAACAAUUUUUUUGUGUUUGUUUUUGGCACAACUUCACUGAACAAAAUAAUUAUUUACAUUUUUCUCAAAUAUAAAUAGGUGAUGGAGCUUGUAAGAUAUCAGAUAAUACUCCAAAUCGGAGUGGGUCAAAAUGAUAAGUUGAAAAAGAAAUAUAUAUACAUAUAUUUUAAGGCUUAAAAGGGUUAACUAUGGAUUUUUUACAAAAAAGAUGGCUAGAAAGACAAAGUUGAGAGAAAACAGACAUAUUUUUUUAAAGCACUGCAAACAGACAUGGGGGAGAAUUCAAAGCCUUUGAAUCAUAUCUUAGAAGAGAGGGAAUAGCUCUAAGACAUUCUUGCCCUUACUUACAUAAACAAAAUGGCAAAGUUGAGAGAAAACACAGACACAUUGUGGAAACUGGACUCACAUUGCAGCCCAAGCCAAAAUGCCAUUGAAAUAUUGGCAAGAAGCCUUUACAUAUGUUGUAUUCACCAUUAACAGACUGGUAUCACCUGUAGUUGGGAGCAAAACACCCUUUGAAUUGAUGUACUCUUCUAAACGAGAUUACUCUCAAAUUAAAGUGUUUGGCUGUGAGUGCUUUCCUUACCUAAGACCCUAUAAUAAGCACAAAUUUGAUUUUCACACCUCCAAGUGUGUCUUGUUAGGAGUAAGUAUUGCUCACAAAGGAUAUGUACGCAUGGGUCAGUCUGGCAGGAUUUAUAUUUCAGCUAGUGUGAGGUUCAAUGAAAACUUCUUUCCUUUCUCAAAUUAUCCAAAUUUCAACAAAAAUGAGUCCAUGAAUGAAAGUGAUUUUACUACUCUCUCUGAAAAGUUUCAAGUUGUUUCCUACCCUGUCAACAAUCUUGACAAUUUCACACAGCUAGCAGCUGCACACAAUCAUUCUCAAAACACUGCUGGAAAUAUGGAACUUCCCUAAAAUCUUGUCCAAGAUGAAGCACAAAAGACCUUGGAGACUGACACAUUAUCAGGUAACCACUCACCUCACCAACCCUUGUUACAUAUUCCAGAAGACAGUCCAAAUUCACUCCCAGCCACAGAACUAAACACUUAAAACCUUGGUAAACAAAAAGCAUGGCCAUCAUAUCCUAUGAUAAUAAGAUCUAAAGCAUGAAUUUUCAAACCAAAACUAUACUAAAUAUCUACCCAAAUCCAAUCCCCUCUUCCCAAAAACACAUGUGAAGCCUUAAAGGAACCAAAAUGGAAAGAGGCAAUAGUAGAUGAGUACAAUGCCCUGAUGAAAAACAGAACAUGGACCUUGAUACCUAAUAGUCAAAAUUAUAAGUUGGUUAGAAACAAGUGGGUGUACAGAAUAAAAGAGAAUCCUUAAUGGUACCAUUAAUAAGUACAAGGCCAGACUUGUUGCUAAAGGAUUCUUGUAAACACUAGGUGUUGACUUUAAGGAGACAUUUAGCCCUGUAGUUAAGGCUGCAAAAAUUAGAAUUGUUCCGACUUUGGCAGUGAAUAACAACUGGAUGCUGAGGCAAGUGGACAUAAACAAUGCAUUUCUAAAUAGAGACUUGACUGAGGAAGUGUACAUGCCACAGCCUGAAGGAUUUGAAAACAAAAGCAAGCCAAACUACAUAUGCAAGCUGAACAAAGCACUGUAUGGACUAAGACAGGCUCCUAGAGUCUGGUUUGACAAGCUGAAGAGUGCUUUAUACUCUUGGGAUUUUGAAAAUUCUAAGUGUGACACAUCAUUAUUUUUCAGAAGAACAAAAUCAAAUAUAAUUAUUAUGCUCAUCUGUGUUGAUGACAUAAUAAUCAUUGGAAGCAGCAACAAGGAUGUCGAAGAAGUGAUUGUAAAGCUGAGCAAAACCUUUGCCUUAAAGGAUUUGGGUAAUUUAAAUUUCUUACUCGGGAUACAAGUUACCAGAAAUCAAGAUAACAUCAUGCUCUCUCAAACCAAAUAUGUUCAAGAUAUGUUGAUAAAAGCAUAAAUGACUCACUGCAAAGGCAUAAAAACUCCUUUCAGCACUUCAGAAAAGCUAAAAAGAAAUGAGGGAGCCAAUUUUCAUGACCCUACACUUUAUAGAAGUGUCAUAGGAAGCCUACAAUAUUCAGUGCUUACAAGACCUAAGCUUGCCUUCUCUGUGAACAAGCUUAGUCAGUUUAUGUCAGAUCCUAGACAGUCACAUUGGAUAACAUGUAAAAGGGUACUGAGAUAUCUUAAGAAUACAAUGAACAUGUGCCUAAGGAUAAAAAAAGUCAGAAUAUUUUGAUCUUACUGCCUAUACUAAUGCAGAUUGGGCUAGUGAUCUAGAUGACAGAAGGUCAAUCAGUGGCUAUUGCCUAUAUUUGGGUAAUAACUUGGUGGCUUGGAGUUCAAGAAAACAAGGUGUGGUUGCUAGAUCAACUGCAGAGUCUGAAUACAGAGCUAUGGCUGUAUGCAGUGUUGAAAUUACAUGGAUCAGUUCAUUGCUUAAUGAGCUUGAGUUAAAAGUUCAAGGAACUCCAGUGAUUCUAAGUGACAGUACCAGUGUAGCAGCCAUAACUGCCAAUCCUAUAUACCAUUCGAGAACUAAACAUUUCGAGAUUGGUCUUCACUUCAUCAGAGACAAAGUUAUGAAAGGUGAAAUAAAAAUAAGUUUUGUUGCAAGCAAGGAUCAAACUGCAGAUGUUCUAACUAAACCUCUGCCAUACUAUAAAUUUGACUACUUCAGAAGCAAACUCAAUGUCUUUGCAAGACCUUGUGUUUGAGAGAGGGUGUUGAAAGUAGCAGCUGUGAAAAUUCAAUAGCUGACUCUGAUGACAAGUUAGCAUGCCACCUCAGCUACACUCAUUUGCAAUCAGAAAAUGUAGAAGAUUUACUGAGCUGGCAAAAUGGAUUUACUGAAGAAUCUCAGCAAAUGAGCAUGCAAGAAUUACGUUUCUAGAAGCUGAAAAUGAUUGGCUGAUAUUUGUCAUAUUCACAGGUUGUUAUUUGUUCAUUUCCAAAUCUUAGCCCUUAGGCCAACUGUUUCUUCUUUUUCCUCUCUGUAUGUAAAUGAACCUAAGCUUGUAUUUUCAUUCAUUCAAGUCGUUAUCUUUUAUAAAGCAUUUUGUGAUUUAUGCUUUGCUUGCUGUUCAUAAGUAAGUUAUAGCAAAUUUAAGUUGUUGGAUCAUAAACUUGAUCCAAGAUGAAUAAAUUCAAGCCCAACUCAUGCAAGGUUCCAUGAAUAGGUGUGAUUGGUGAGGUUUGAAUUAUUUGUGUUAGGUGUGGUGGGUUUGGUAGGUGAAGAUGAAUGGUUAUUAAUUUUUUAUAAUUUCUUAUUUGAAUGGUUGUGAUUAGCUUGUUUCAUGUAUAAAUACCCCCUCUCCCCUUUGGUUUAAGCAUCAAGUGAAGUAACAAAAUCUCUAAGUUGUAGAGAGUGAAAAAUAAGAGUUGUAGUUGGUGAGGAGUGUUAUUGAAGAAAUAAAAUAGUGUGUUUUUUUAGUGUCAUAUGUGUUAACUUUCCAACAAAAAUUACUGGACAUGAACUUUCCUACUGCUUAAUCUUUCCUGCAGCCAAAAUUAGCUAUAACCAAUAAAAGAAAUUUCAUUGACUAUAUAGCCACAGCCCACAAGCCUGGAUACUGAUGCCUCUGAAUUAUGUUUCUCGAGCGAAUGUGCAGUCCGCUAGCUUACAUCUUGAGGGCUAGUGAGCUGAUCUGCAUGUUACACAAGGACUUGUUUUAGUUUAAUUAAUUACCUGAUCUACAUCGCUCAAGUUCACUUCACCAAAUUAAUAAAUUGAAGCACGUCAAUUUACGAAGAGGGCUGGUAAGCUGAAAUUUUUUUCACGGUAAAAAAAUUAAAGAGGAACUAAUUAACUAUGAACAAUUGCAUUGAUAAACUUUUAGUUUAAUUAAUUACCUUGAGGAUGCAUUUGAUUAUUUUUACAAACAUUAAUCUAAUUUUAUGUUUGGUGCAAACAAAAUGAGUUAGGAUAGCAUGUCCUGCCCUACAUCUUUUUUUUUUUUUUUUUAAAUCUGGACCCGCGCUUUAAUAAGAUAAAUGUAAAACUUUUUCCCAUAAAGAUGGAAACCUUAACUAUGAACUAUUACUUAGCAUAAUGUUAUAUAAACAUAUAAAUAAACACACAUCUAAUCGCUUCUUAUUGAUAUCACAACAACUUACAUUCUGGGGAAAAAAAAAAUACUAAACCCUCAGGGUAAUAGACAUUAUCACAUCUGAUCACUUCUUAUUGGAGAUACAAAAACAUACAUUCAGUAUUGCAAAAGCCAAAUUAAUCAUAUAAAGAAGCAGAAAGGCGUGGAGUAAGAAGCACUUUAAGUGGAGUAGCUUUAGCAUAGGUCAAGGAUUUUGCCUCUUCCAUGUCAACUGGUGCAUCUGAUGGGGUUGCAAAAUCAAACCCAUGUAGUAAUGAAGCAAGUAUUAGUGGCAUAACUUGAAAGGCAAACGAAAUUCCAGGACACAUUCUUCUACCACUUCCAAAUGGUAUAAAUUCAAAAUUCUGUCCCUUCAGAUCAACGUCCUUGUAUUUUGUAAGAAAUCUUUCUGGCAGAAAUUUACAAGGCUCCUCCCAAACUCCUGGAUCACGCUGAAUCUUCCAAGCAUUAACAAUAAGUUGUGUGCCUGCAGGGACAUGGUAACCACUGAUGGUGCAGUCUUCGAUAGACUCGUGAGGUAGUAAAAGUGGCGCAGCGGGGUAUAAACGCAGUGUCUCCUUGAGGACGACCUGCAAAUGAGCUAAAUUUAUCAUGUCUGAUUCAUUCACUUGUCUAUUUGUACCAACAUGAACGUCUAGUUCAUUUUGAGCCUUCUCUAGAACAUCGCGGUUGUUGAGAAGUAGGGCGAUAGCCCAUGUCAAUGUUACUGCGGUAGUGUCUGAAGCUGCUAAGAUUAGAGACUGCAAAAGUAGGAGUCAGCUCGAUUAUAUAUAUAAAAUAGCUUUUUGCCAAUUGACAUGUUAUCAAUAAUUUAUGCAUUAGCUGUGCUUAAGUUUUUUUCAGGACAAUACCAGGCAUAUAGCUUUAAUAACAGUGUCAGUGUCAUCGCCAUCAGGAAGCUGCUUUGUUUUGUCAUCAAACAAGGACAGCAUCACAUACAUAAAGUCUUCAUCUCCCUUAACCUCGCUAGAACCUCUUUUGCUCUUAUGCUCAUCCAACCAUCCUUGCAAAACGAGGUCAAAUUCUUUAGCUGUCUUCUUCAUUAAUUUCUCGUAUCCGCCGAUAUCCAGCCAUCUCAGAAACGGAAAAGCGUCAGACACCACAAACUUACCAAACAAGUCAAAAAAGUCGGUCGCAU